GAUGAAGAACGCAGCGAAAUGCGAUAAGUAAUGUGAAUUGCAGAAUUCAGUGAAUCAUCGAAUCUUUGAACGCACAUUGCGCCCAUUAGUAUUCUAGUGGGCAUGCCUGUUCGAGCGUCAUUAAGUCCACUUAAGCCCUGCUUAGUGUUGGGAGACUGCUCCAGCGGUGCUACCCUGUAGCUACCCUGCAGCUCCUCAAAGACAGCGGCGGAGUUGUGGUAUCCUCUGAGCUUAGUAACUUGUUCUAGCUUUCGAGUACAUCACUUCCCCUGCCGUAAAACCCUUAAUUUUUAAUGGUUGACCUCGGAUCAGGUAGGAAUACCCGCUGAACUUAAGCAUAUCAAUAAGCGGAGGA
This 355-nucleotide unclassified non-coding RNA is filed under the name soil metagenome. Its description in RNAcentral is "partial contains 5.8S ribosomal RNA, internal transcribed spacer 2, and large subunit ribosomal RNA". The stretch from base 1 to 120 matches the Rfam family "5.8S ribosomal RNA", at positions 35 to 154 of the family's 154-position model. The record is from RNAcentral.